UUUAAGACAUUUCAAUUUAUUCUCUUCUGAAUCAACAUUUAACAUCCUGAGGAGAAGAUUUUCGAUCGAGGAUCGAUCAGUCUAUUUGAGAAAACUCCAUAUGUAUUUGCCCCCCCCAAAAAAAAAAGAAAUAUUUUUAAGUACAAUAAACAAGAAAAUACUAGUUAUUACACCCACAAUAAUCUUGUAAUCCACGAAAAACAUGAAACGAUUAAAUUCUUCAAAUGGCAGUAACGUGAUUAUAUAGAAUAACUUUGUGGAGCUCUCUAGAGGAGAGACGGAGAGAAUGUCAAGAACAAGGAACGAUAUAUCAAAUAUGAUAUAAGAACUAUUUUGGCUAAAAUUCUUGUGGAGCUGCUUGAAAAAUGCAAAAAGCCAUCAAAUAAAUAUAACUGUAAAUUGUCGUGUUUUUCUUAUUUGUUUCAAAAAUUUCUUUCAUAAUUGAUAGCAACGGCAGAUAAAGAUGAAAGACGGUGAGAUGAGAUGAGUGAGGUUCAGUCAACACAACAUCAUCAGCGGCGGGGACCUCACUCAACCAUUAUAGGCAAACAAGUGCAGCAGUCGCGGCUCCACAAACACUCCGCAAUCAUAAAAAAACUCAAAUUAUUUGCACACCAUUUUUCUUCCUUUCUUUCUUUUUUCUCACUAGACAAAAUAAUCAAAUAUCUUUUGAAUUGAUUGAAUAUGCUGUUAAAAUUUGAUUGAUGUAACUACGGGGUUGUUAGAACGUCUACAAGUAAUAUCGAUCGUAAUUUUUUUUAUUAUUGGUAGUAAUUUUAUUAUAGACUUCUUAAUGUUGUAUAGCACGUGUAAAUUAAUAUGCAAGUUGUAAAUACAAUGAUAAAAUUAAUUAUUUGAAAUAAUGAAGGAUUUUAACAUAAACAUGUCCUAUAAUAAAAAACUUACAGAAUUGUAGAUAUUUAACGACUCUUUUUAUUUUUUCUUUAGCACAAACGUUCUUAUAUUUUAAAAUAUAGAUUUGACCUACAUUACACAUCAUUAUUUUUAUUAGAACGUCUACAAGUAAUAUCGAUCGUAAUUUUUUUUUUUUGUUAUUGGUAGUAAUUUUAUUAUUAGGCUUCUCAAUGUUGUCUAGCACGUGUAAAUUAAUAUGCAAGUUGUAAAUACAAUGAUAAAAUUAAUUAGUUGAAAUAAUGACGGAUUUUAACAUAAACAUGUCCUAUAAUAAAAUACGUAUAGAAUUGUAGAUAUUUAACGACUUUUUUUGUUUUUUCCUUAGCACAAACGUUCUUACAUUUUAAAACAUAGAUUUGACCUACAUUACACAUCAUUAUUUACCACCUUGACAUUGUUGGUUAGCAGCUAAACGCUGUUAUUUAGUGCCUAUAGAUUAUAUGAUUUAGUCGCUAAUUAGUACCAUCUUUUCUUGUUUUAACACCUUUACAAUAUUGUUUAAUCGGUCAAGAAUUAGCACAUAUUCACCCUAUGUUAAGAUAUAAAUAAAAGUAAAAACGUCCGCAGCUAAGAAUUGUUAAAUACACGAUUAAUCAGAAGAUAGCAUAAAUUAAUUAGCUAAUUAACUUGUAGCAUCAACCAAAAAGACAACCAUCACAUUAAAAGUUUCACCAGUACCACUCCUUUUAAAUCUCUUGGGAGUAAUAAUUUUCUCUCAUUGAACCUAUUUUCUAGCUCACUAGAUGAGUCAGUAGCAGUAUAAUAACUAAUAAGGUACUUGACUAGCUUACAGAAUCUGUAAGCUACAGACUGCAGCAUCAGCCGUUGGAUGUGGAGUGAGAAACUAAACAAUAGAAAAUCGGAUGGUGGUACUAAUAAGCCUCGAGUACAGGAAAAACACUGUGGGAAGAAGAAGCAAAUGGAAGUUGACACGUAGAGUUUAAAACAAGGAGCCAAAAUAUGAAUAAUAAAAUAAAAUCAAAUAAAAGAUUUUGAUGUGAAGGAUGGAAUCUAGUGCAGAAGCUUUUGCUUCCUCAGUCUUCUCAUCCUAACAUGGAAAAUGAUAAAUAAAAUAAAAUAAUGAUCAAUUAAAAGCAAAUAACCACAAUGGGAGGCUUUUAACAGUCUCGUGUGUAGAUUCUUGUGUUUGUGCUUUAGCAACCUAAAAAUUGAGGAUAAGUCUGAAAAAUGUUAGGGUUUUGGCUCGUCGUGAUGCGUGUUAAAAUAAAUUUUCUACGCUUCCAUUAAAAACAGCAUAAUAACACGUGAGCCCCUUGUUUGAUACAUUUUCUUACUAAGAACAUGAUUUGACUAUUUUGUAUCAAAUAAGUCUCUGACUUAUUAAAACAAUCAAUUACCCUGAUAAUAUUGCAUGUUUAUUGUCAAAAUAUAAAAGGAAUCUAUGGAAAUUACCACUAAAAUGUAUUUGAUUUAUUAUAAAGGUAAUUUGGUUAUUUUAUUAUUUAUUAUAACCUAAUUUUAGUCUAAGAUUUAUCAUUGUAUAUAUACUC
This 2426-nucleotide long non-coding RNA is filed under the name Citrus x clementina. RNAcentral describes it as "Citrus clementina (C. clementina) long non-coding RNA (CCLE_LNC000078)". Lineage: Eukaryota; Viridiplantae; Streptophyta; Magnoliopsida; Sapindales; Rutaceae. The record is from RNAcentral.